This 745-nucleotide ribosomal RNA is filed under the name Arthrobacter sp. RNAcentral describes it as "bacterial SSU rRNA". It matches the Rfam family "Bacterial small subunit ribosomal RNA", at positions 91 to 838 of the family's 1533-position model. The record is from RNAcentral. Lineage: Bacteria; Bacillati; Actinomycetota; Actinomycetes; Micrococcales; Micrococcaceae.
GAUAGUGGCGAACGGGUGAGUAACACGUGAGUAACCUGCCCUUGACUCUGGGAUAAGCCUGGGAAACCGGGUCUAAUACUGGAUACGACCUUCUGGCGCAUGCCAUGUUGGUGGAAAGCUUUUGUGGUUUUGGAUGGACUCGCGGCCUAUCAGCUUGUUGGUGGGGUAAUGGCCUACCAAGGCGACGACGGGUAGCCGGCCUGAGAGGGUGACCGGCCACACUGGGACUGAGACACGGCCCAGACUCCUACGGGAGGCAGCAGUGGGGAAUAUUGCACAAUGGGCGCAAGCCUGAUGCAGCGACGCCGCGUGAGGGAUGAAGGCCUUCGGGUUGUAAACCUCUUUCAGUAGGGAAGAAGCUGGCCUUUGGGUUGGUGACGGUACCUGCAGAAGAAGCGCCGGCUAACUACGUGCCAGCAGCCGCGGUAAUACGUAGGGCGCAAGCGUUAUCCGGAAUUAUUGGGCGUAAAGAGCUCGUAGGCGGUUUGUCGCGUCUGCCGUGAAAGUCCGGGGCUUAACUCCGGAUCUGCGGUGGGUACGGGCAGACUAGAGUGCAGUAGGGGAGACUGGAAUUCCUGGUGUAGCGGUGAAAUGCGCAGAUAUCAGGAGGAACACCGAUGGCGAAGGCAGGUCUCUGGGCUGUAACUGACGCUGAGGAGCGAAAGCAUGGGGAGCGAACAGGAUUAGAUACCCUGGUAGUCCAUGCCGUAACGUUGGGCACUAUGUGUGGGGGACAUUCCACGUU